Molecule: transfer RNA, 73 nt
Filed under: Candidatus Saccharibacteria bacterium SW_7_54_9
Lineage: Bacteria; Candidatus Saccharimonadota
Description: tRNA-Ala
Rfam family: tRNA
About the family: Transfer RNA (tRNA) molecules are approximately 80 nucleotides in length. Their secondary structure includes four short double-helical elements and three loops (D, anti-codon, and T loops). Further hydrogen bonds mediate the characteristic L-shaped molecular structure. tRNAs have two regions of fundamental functional importance: the anti-codon, which is responsible for specific mRNA codon recognition, and the 3' end, to which the tRNAs corresponding amino acid is attached (by aminoacyl-tRNA synthetases). tRNAs cope with the degeneracy of the genetic code in two manners: having more than one tRNA (with a specific anti-codon) for a particular amino acid; and 'wobble' base-pairing, i.e. permitting non-standard base-pairing at the 3rd anti-codon position.
Source: RNAcentral
GGGGUCAUAGCUCAGUUGGCAGAGCACCUCUUUUGCAAGGAGGAGGUCGUCGGUUCGAAUCCGGCUGACUCCA